Molecule: long non-coding RNA, 670 nt
Organism: Panicum hallii
Lineage: Eukaryota; Viridiplantae; Streptophyta; Magnoliopsida; Poales; Poaceae
Exons: 2
Source: RefSeq, a predicted model, not a curated record
GAGGCCGUGAGGGUGACUGCGUUUUUUUGUAUGAGAGUCUGUCCUGCUCCUGGUAGCGAGCGGCGGAGCGGAAGACGGUCAGCGCAGGCCGCAGGUGGCAGGUGACGGAGAGGAAGACGGCAUCGUCAGCGCCGACGAAGUCAUCUCCCCCAACUCUUCAAGAGCCCUUCCCAGGAGGCGCUAGUACUGACAGUCCUUCCCAGCGGCUAUAGCAUGCAGUUUCUUACCUUGCAAUGGAUCGAUCAUAUUCUAAUUUUCUGCCAGCAAGUUUUUCUGUCGAGACCAUGCAGAUGGUAUGUGCGCGCGCGUCUCAAUCCAUGUGCAUCGAGGGAGCCGUGCGAUCAUACGGUUCAUCGGACAGGCGUUGUGUGCAUGGUAUGAGUUAUGAUACAAGAUUGGAGGAUUGCUGAGGAUCAAUAUAUAAUGCAUGAAGAUGGUGUAGUGCAUGCAGAUGGUAUGUGUGCGUGUAUGUCUCGAUCCAUAUGCAUCGAGAGUAUCGUGCGAUCAUGCGGAUCACUGGGCAGGCGCUGUGCUGUAUGAGUUAUGGUAUAAGAUUGGAGGAUGACCAAUGGAUUUACUUAUCAACAUGCUGUACUUUUCUCAUCCAAAGAUACACAUCCUGUACUUUUCUCAUCCUUAUCAGCAUAAUUGAUUUACUUUAAGCAUAAAA